Gasterosteus aculeatus (three-spined stickleback) is the source of this 1518-nucleotide long non-coding RNA. The record is from Ensembl. NCBI's taxonomy places the organism in Eukaryota, Metazoa, Chordata, Actinopteri, Perciformes, Gasterosteidae.
GGACCGGGAGACUUCCAGCAGCACAUGGCCCCAAAUUUUGGUCAGCCCCAGCGGCCCCCUCAUCACAUGGAGCCCUUCAGGAGCCAGCCACCUCAAGGACCCCAAGAGAGAGAGCCGCUCUUUAUGGGAGGUGAGUCCCACUCCCGCCUCGGACGAGGGUUCCAAAGCUCUCCUGGCAUAUUUAAUCCGAUUCGACAUCACCUCUGGCGGUAUACCUACAGGGUACGCUGCUUGCUUUCUGGCGCUUCCCAAUGAGCGGCACUCAUGUUAAAUGCAUGUGUGUAUAUAUACAUCUGAAUGAGCUUUUGAAGCCCAGUUAAACACCUAUAUUUCAGAUUGUAUUCAUUAACAGUGCAGCAGUGAAACAACCGUUUGUUGUUUACACUUUCACCUUGAUAGAGUUGUCUGUUUUCAUUUGCCUCGCCAUAAGACCGCGCGUCUGGAGAGGGAGUUGCCGACGCAUUGAGAUCGGCUCGCGGUGCAAACAAAACUGACAUCUCUGUUGUGUUGUUGCCCGGUCUUCUUUCUGUGGGAGCAGAACGCCCAGAGUCAACACGCUUUCCGGGGCAGCACAUGUUUGAUCACCAGAGCCCCGGCCCGCCGAUGAAUAGCAGCCACAACCUCCACCACCACCACCACCCCCACCCCCACCACCCCCCGCAGCAGCAGCAGCAGCCGCCGCCGCAGCAGCAGCAGCUUCCUGGCCAGGGCCACAUGGGUUUCGCCCAACCAGGACCGGGCUUCAACCAGCCCGGGCAGGGUCAGCUGGGACUCUUUUCGAGAGAACCCCCAAGACCCAACCUCCCUCCCCACCAAGGUCAUCAGGGCAUGGUGGGCUUGAAUCAACAAGGUGGUCCCCCCAACCAGCCCAGGCCCUUCAUGGGCCCCCGUCAGCCGUUUGGCCAGCAGGGGAACCUCUUCCCCCCUCCACAAGUCCAGUUUGGGAUGCAGGUACGACUAAGAGGCUUAAUGCACGGCCCUCCUGUCUCCCAGCUUCCGCAUCACGACUCCUUGGCAUCCCAUCAGCCCAUGCACCAGCAGCAGCAACAUCACAGGCAGGAGUUGACCCAUCAUCAGCAGCAACAUCUUAAUGUCAACGAGUCUCGCCCCAUGAUGCACCAUGGCCAGAAUCCUUUCCAUCAGCAGGCGCAUGGCAGCCCGAGGCAGAUGACUCCCCGCCUUCAGAACCCCCAACAACGCAACAUGUCCAACAGGCUGAGGAUGAACACGCCCAUUUCCAAGCAAAUGCAGCAGCGCAACAGCAACCUCCGGGAACUCCCCGUAGCACCCGGCAACGCAACCAUGAACAGUGCCCGCCCCGCCGCCAACAUUAGACCUGUUGCCAAGGCAACACAGGGGAUGCGUCCCGGGCAGAACACUCAGCCGGUGCCUGACGGCGGCAGAGGAAGAGGCCAAGCUAACGCCAAGAUGGAAUCGCAGCUCGGAGGCGCGGGCAGGACGGUAGUUUGCAAGGAGAUCCCGAGCUCGCUGUCCAGCCAAGCACCGCAGGUCAGCUAA